CCUACGGGAGGCAGCAGUGGGGAAUAUUGGGCAAUGGAGGAAACUCUGACCCAGCAACGCCGCGUGCAGGAUGAAGGUUUUCGGAUUGUAAACUUCUGUCGCGAGGGAUGAAGAAUGACGGUACCUCGUAAGAAAGCCCCGGCAAACUACGUGACAACAGCCGCGGUAAUACGUAGGAGGCGACCGUUGUCCGGAGUGACUGGGAGUAAAGGGAGUGUAGGCGGCAUAUUAAGUUCUGUGUGAAAGCCCGCGGCGCAACCGCGGAAUUGCACAUAAAACUGGUAAGCUGGAGGGCAGGGGAGGUAAGUGGAAUUCCUGGUGUAGCGGUGGAAUGCGUAGAUAUCGGGAGGAACACCAGAGGCGAAGGCGACUUACUGGACUGUAACUGACGCUGAGGCUCGAAAGCGUGGGGAGCAAACAGGAUUAGAUACCCUUGUAGUC
RNAcentral lists this ribosomal RNA (441 nucleotides) under uncultured bacterium. Its description in RNAcentral is "partial 16S ribosomal RNA". It matches the Rfam family "Bacterial small subunit ribosomal RNA", at positions 338 to 795 of the family's 1533-position model. The record is from RNAcentral.